Molecule: ribosomal RNA, 574 nt
Filed under: uncultured bacterium
Lineage: Bacteria
Description: bacterial SSU rRNA
Rfam family: Bacterial small subunit ribosomal RNA
Source: RNAcentral
ACUGAGACACGGUCCAGACUCCUACGGGAGGCAGCAGUGGGGAAUCUUGCGCAAUGGGCGAAAGCCUGACGCAGCGACGCCGCGUGGGGGAUGAAGCUUCUCGGAGUGUAAACCCCUUUCGACUGGGACGAAUGCCUCGCAAGAGGAGUGACGGUACCAGUAGAAGAAGCCCCGGCUAACUACGUGCCAGCAGCCGCGGUAAGACGUAGGGGGCCAGCGUUGCUCGGAAUUACUGGGUGUAAAGGGUUCGUAGGCGGUGUAGCAAGUCGGGAGUGAAAUCUCUGGGCUCAACCCAGAGACUGCUUCCGAAACUGCUGUGCUUGAGUGUGGGAGAGGCGCGUGGAAUUGCAGGUGUAGCGGUGAAAUGCGUAGAUAUCUGCAGGAACACCCGUGGCGAAAGCGGCGCGCUGGACCACUACUGACGCUGAGGAACGAAAGCUAGGGGAGCAAACAGGAUUAGAUACCCUGGUAGUCCUAGCCCUAAACGAUCAGGACUUGGGGUGCCGCACGUUCGUGCGUCGUCCCGGAGCUAACGCGUUAAGUCCUGCACCUGGGGAGUACGGUCGCAAGACUG